This 238-nucleotide long non-coding RNA is filed under the name Elaeis guineensis (African oil palm). Its description in RNAcentral is "long non-coding RNA (EGUI_LNC069783)". The record is from RNAcentral. Lineage: Eukaryota; Viridiplantae; Streptophyta; Magnoliopsida; Arecales; Arecaceae.
UGCCUCUUUUCUUUUUGAGAAUCUAUCUACACCUUAUGGGUCUUAUCUCUUAAGGUGGAUCAACUAAUGUCCAUACAUCAUUAAUCUUCAUAGAUUCUAUUUUGAAUUGUUAGAAAGUCGAGUAGGGUGCAUGUGUAGAUUUCAAAAAUCUUUUUGAUUAUAGCGAAAAAAUAAUCAGGUUAAAUCCUUUAACCCCAUAUGCAAUCGAUCUCAUUUAAUCCUAUCCAACUCCAGAAGA